RNAcentral lists this long non-coding RNA (2556 nucleotides) under Podarcis lilfordi (Lilford's wall lizard). The record is from RNAcentral. Lineage: Eukaryota; Metazoa; Chordata; Lepidosauria; Squamata; Lacertidae.
CAAGGUACCACUGUACACACAUUUCAUAUUGCAGUGUAACGCUGAUAUUGUUGUGUGCGCAUAAUUGCCUGGGAGCGCCAUUGAAUUCCUUGGGAUUUCUGAGUCAACAUGCAUAGGAUCAUGUGUUGCUAAUGAACAAAUCCUUGCCCGCCCACCCCCCGAACCCUGGUGGAUUUUCCACCAGGGCUUAUUUGGAGAUGAAAAUCCUCUAGCCAUGCUUGGUGGGUGGUCAAUUUCUGAAUUCUCAGGGCUUCUCUGAUGGUUGUCCUGGCCUGGAAGUGUAUUGUGAAUACAUCCCUUAUUCCCUGUUAGAUAUAAAGCUGCUACAUGUCAAUGAGGGUUUGACAGUUAAUGGAGCGCAUGUUCUCAGUAUUUAUCCGUGCCCGGAGAAUGACUCACAAAAUGCGAAGACAGCAAAUGUGGAAUCUUUUGUCUGCCCAUCUCACUCUCUCAGCUUGGAAGACAUUUUCCUGCGUUCUCAUAAGUGAUAUAUGUUAUCACGUCUUUGUACCAAGGCUCUCAGUCUAGGCAGGCAAGGCUUCCAUGGGCAAGAGAAUGGGCUAGAUUGUGUUCACAGGCUGCUAGUUGACCAUUCCUGCUUUAAACUCCUCUUUACCACUGUCAGAUGUUUCUUCACUGGCCUGCAGAUGGGAGCAGGUUAAACAGCAUUUGGGGCCGAGGACUCCAGAUGUUGGCCUGGGCCCCUCCAGAUGAUAUUGGACUCCCAUCAGUCCCAGCCAGCAUGGCGAAAGGCCAGGGGUGAUGGAAAAUGUUGUAGCAACAUCUGACCAGCCACAAGUUCCCCAUUCCUGCCAUAAGAAAUCCCUCUUUCCCUGAUGUUGACAAAACCUAAUUGUAUAACUGGCCUCAUCUUGGUUUUCUGUUUCUUGGUUACAUUAGCACAGCAGUCUUCAGUUCUUCAAAAGACCCAGAAUCCGCCUUUAACUCAAACAUGAAUUUGAGACCUGUUCCAUAUAAAACCAUAUAUAGUUGUAUGCUGUGUUAGAAACUGUCAGAGCUGGCUCCAGGUCCCAGCUCACAGAGGACCAACGCUAGCCGGCAGUAAUGUACAAAAGUCUUUAUUGAAGUACAGUUUCCAUUUUCAAGCCGCAGCGCCCCAGCUCUACGUCUAGGGGUUAGAUCGGCGAAGCUCCAUCUGAGUCUCCGCCCCCUGUACACCAGUUUAAGAUUCUAGCCUUACUCCACCUCUUACGUCUCUCCUUUCUCCUCUGGGUCCUGCUACCCCCCGGGGUCCCUUCCUUCCUGGAUUCUUCUGACGCUGACGUUGACCCCCCUGACUCCUCCCCCUCUUUUCGGCGGGCUUUGGGACCUGGCUCCCUAUCCGGGCUGCCAACUGCGCCGCUCUCCUGUACAUUUGAACUUGGCGCGCGCGCCAGCCUUCAACCUUCCUCUCGACCGUUUCCUCGCUCCCCGAUGGAGGCGUGGCCAAUCCUGACUCAUGUCCUCCCACUGGCAGUGCGCCGCCUGAUCCCGAUGCCUGGGACCCCUCCCCCCUACUGCACUCUGGUGUGGACGCUGGUCCUGAUUUCCAACUGCUGCUCUCUGAGUCCCCUCUGGCCCCUUCUUCCUGGGGUGUCCCCCUCGGCACCCCCCUUGCUCUGACCAAGGGAGCCCCCUCUGUGAAUCUUCCGAUUCGCUGGAAAGACUCAGAGACCUCGGACCGCUGUCAUCGCUAACAUUUCCUUCGGACUCCUCCCCCUCGCUCUCUAUUUCCUCCCUUUCCUGUGCCUCUGCUCCUGAACCCCUGACAGAAACUCAGACAUUUAAUCUAAUAGCCAAAUGGCAGUCGCCAAAACGGAAUGCCGAGUUGCCGUUUUUGGGAAAGACGGCUCUAAAGUCCUAUUUUUCAAAGGAUUGACUGGCUGUGAUUUAUCAGUUAAACAUCUGGCUAGUUCAGAUGACAACCUUGAGCCAGGUUAAGAGCUUUGACGGCUUAAAUAAGAAAAGUCACUUGAUCCAGGGACAGUCCACAUACAGUAUAUAUUGGCCUAUUCCGACCUCUUUUUCUCAAUGGUGACACAGACCAUUCAUAAUGUAGGAAUACUUUUCACAACGGUGAGCUAGGCAGUUGGUUGGAGUAAGUGAAGAGAAGCUACAACAAUUCACCAUAACGCUGUUCACCGCUUCUACUCAGGCUGCACAGAAAAAGCAUUUUGGUUCCUGAAAUUCAUUCCAGUUGUGCGGAUAAAGUAUAACUGAUAGAAUUCUGAAAAAUGUGGUGUUAGUGGGUGAAAACAGUCCAGAACCAAUGACCACCAGGCAUGCACCUCCUGAUGGUGGAGAUGCCAGGUACCAUCCUUGGCACCCAAGCAUCUUCACUUUGUCGCAAGUGGCCGAUAGUCAGGUGCAAAAAUACACCCAGAGCCUGGCUAAUUUUGAACACUGUUUGUAUGCUGGUAGUGUUGGUGUUCUGACUCACCUUAGAUCAGGCUGCAACUUGGUAGAGCAGCUGAGGAAACCCAGCCAGAUGGGUGGGGUAUAAUUAAUUAUUAGUAAAGUAAAGGGACCCCUGACCAUUAGGUCCAGUCGUGACCG